AUUGAACGCUGGCGGCAGGCCUAACACAUGCAAGUCGAGCGGCAGCGGGAAAGUAGCUUGCUACUUUUUGCCGGCGAGCGGCGGACGGGUGAGUAAUGCCUGGGAAAUUGCCCAGUCGAGGGGGAUAACAGUUGGAAACGGCUGCUAAUACCGCAUACGCCCUACGGGGGAAAGCAGGGGACCUUCGAGCCUUGCGCGAUUGGAUAUGCCCAGGUGGGAUUAGCUAGUUGGUGAGGUAAUGGCUCACCAAGGCGACGAUCCCUAGCUGGUCUGAGAGGAUGAUCAGCCACACUGGAACUGAGACACGGUCCAGACUCCUACGGGAGGCAGCAGUGGGGAAUAUUGCACAAUGGGGGAAACCCUGAUGCAGCCAUGCCGCGUGUGUGAAGAAGGCCUUCGGGUUGUAAAGCACUUUCAGCGAGGAGGAAAGGUUGAUGCCUAAUACGUAUCAACUGUGACGUUACUCGCAGAAGAAGCACCGGCUAACUCCGUGCCAGCAGCCGCCGUAA
This 509-nucleotide ribosomal RNA is filed under the name uncultured bacterium. Its description in RNAcentral is "partial 16S ribosomal RNA". It matches the Rfam family "Bacterial small subunit ribosomal RNA", at positions 30 to 523 of the family's 1533-position model. The record is from RNAcentral.